AGAAGCGCUGGCAACUUAAACCUGCUCCUCAUGUACUCGACCCUGCAGACAGAAUUAUAAAGUCCUCGCUUCUGAGGUAUCUUUUGUGCUUUACUUUCCAACCCUUUUUUUCUGUAAAUAACCACUCUCGUUGGAGAACGGACCGGGAAACAUUAGAGCUGCACAAUGCUGAAGCCGGUUUUCUGCCUGUCAGGCACUUAAAGCUAUUCCACUCAUGGAUGAGAUAGGAGGGGUGCCGGAUGGAGAGGGGAGGGGGUAAUAGAUUGUGGUGCCGUGGAAAAGGGAAGGUCGUUUCAUUUCUGUAGUUCCAAGUUUCAGCGUGGUCUAGACAGCAGAUAUUUGAAAACUUUAAAUGGAAUAGACUGUUAUAAAGGAGGAUACUAUACUCCAAUUUAUGAUUCUCUAAACUAUGUUCUUUGGGUUGAAGAUGAAUGUGUAUGAGGAAAUCCUGGUGCCUGCUGGAAAGAAGAGGCUUUCAUUCUGGCAAGAUAUUCCCUCGCUUCACAGCAAGAUCUGUCCACAAGUCCGAAAACACUGAUGAGUGAGGACAUCCAUGUCCACAAAGAGAUGACUUAAUCACAAGAAGAUCGCUGUAUGAAUAAUAGAUGCAUAUAACCACAUUCAGCAGAAAAAGAGCCCUCCAGAUACAAGUUAGACAUGAGUUAAAAUGAGUUAUUAAAGAGGAAGAUUAAGAGAUUUGAAAUGCAAUAAACCAGAGAUUUAUAGGAUAUGAUAUAUAAAAUAAAAUAGUUUUAUCCAUCAAUAUUCAGUUAACAAAAUAAGUCAGUUGAUUACAACAAUUUGUGAACCUGUUUAAUCUCUGACAAAAGAAAUCAAAUGGACUCAAAAUGGAAUCAAAGACUUAAGUAUAAUGGUGAUAAUAAAAUAGUUUGUAUUAUUAUUAUUGCAUUUUGAGGUAAUGCUGAACAGUGUUUGUGUUACUGGGUAUUCAAGUUUGUAAUUGCUGUGUAAAUACUAAUUACCCACAUUCUAUACAUACACCAUCUAUGUAUUAGUGUUGUAAUUUUGUAAAUCUGCUUAUAAAUAUUGUACAUAUUAGUAAUUACUAAUAGGAAAAUGUAAUAUUUGCAACUCAGUGUAAAAAGUUUUUCUACAUCCUCAGGUUAAAGGAAUAUUCCAGGUUCAAUGUAAGUUAAGCUCAAUCGACAGUAUUUGUAGCAUAAUGUUGAUUACCUCAAAAAUGUAUUUCGAUUCAUUCCUCCUUUCUUUAAAAAAAUUCAAAAAUCAAGGUUAUAGUGAGGCACUUACAAUUGAAGUGAAUGGGACCAUUUUUUGGAGGUUUUAAAAUCUUCUGUUAAAACUCAUGUAUUAUUUGAGCGAUAAAGUUGUUUAAAUUGUCAUUUUUGGGUUUGUUGACUACAUCAUCAUGGCAAAUAUGCUAUAACUUUACACAGAAAAGGUUAAUAAGUGAUUUUAUUACACAUUUAUUACACAUACACAUUACACAUUAUCAUGUUAACAUACUUAUUGUUUAUGUCUUGUGGCUAUUCUUUUGAAAAAGUGAGUAUUUUAACAUUCAAAAGUUGGCCCCCAUUCAAAUCCAUUGUGCCUCAUUGUGAACUCGAAUUUUUCUUUUUUUUAAAGAAAAGGCCGGGCAAAUCAAAAUAAAUUUUUUGGGUAAACAUUAUUAUGCGAAAAAUGCUGUACAUUCAGCAUAACUUGUAUUGAACCUGGAAUAUUCCUUUAACAUUCAUGUAAAGGUCAAGAGUGUUGGUUUUAUUACAAUUACUUAUUCGGAAUACAUUAGGUGAAACAUUUGAACUCACUGCAUGGUGCAAAUAUGCUAAAGAAGAGACAGUAGGAGGAGGUUGAUUUGUUGAGCUCCUCUACCUUGCCCAAUCACUGUCUAUCUCUCUAAUUAUUGGACAGCACACCUCUAUGACAUCACACAGAGAGGGAAGUCUUACACAUUGUCGUUGUCAAGUCUGAUGACCCAGGCUGAUCUGUCUAUGGAGGAUGGGAGGGAAUGGGGGUGUCUGUUUAAAUGGAUGGGCAACAGAGGGCAUGGGAAAGUGUGGCGGGGUCACUGGACACGUGUGUUAUCAAAGAAAAGUAAUUAAACUGGCCAGCCCUUCAAGAUGUGUCCUGCUCCAUGUCCAGAAAUCCCAAACUGUGAUAGGCUGGAAUAUAGCUUAUUUACUCAAACUAAAAAUGUUGUGAAAAUGCUUCUAUUUUGCACUUUUCCAAUUUAAUUAAAAAAAGUUCAACUGUAUUUUUUAAAAUGACAGAUAAUAUUAUCAGCAUAGCAAUUUAAGUGAAAAGUUGAACUAAAACAUUUACGUGAAUUUCAGAAUUUCUUUAUAUUUCUUAUGUCCAUUUUGCUUUAAUGAUCUAGCAUGCAACUUGUAAGGAUUUUACAAAUCUGUGCAACGCCUGAUGAUCCACGUUAUCCAGCAUGAUUUGAGAAUGUUCCAAAGAGCAUUUUGUGUGCUUCAAUAGAUGCAAGGACGUCUGUAACAUUUGUAAAAGGGGUUA
Long non-coding RNA from Xyrauchen texanus (razorback sucker), 2496 nucleotides. RefSeq lists it as uncharacterized. The record is from RefSeq and is a predicted model, not a curated record. The transcript is spliced from 3 exons. Lineage: Eukaryota; Metazoa; Chordata; Actinopteri; Cypriniformes; Catostomidae.